Molecule: long non-coding RNA, 678 nt
Organism: Mandrillus leucophaeus (drill)
Lineage: Eukaryota; Metazoa; Chordata; Mammalia; Primates; Cercopithecidae
Exons: 2
Source: RefSeq, a predicted model, not a curated record
CGCCGCUCCCGCGCGGCGGCGUCACGGAGAUCGCUCUUGACUCGGACUUGUGGUCGCGAUUGGAGGAAAAAGCGCGGGCCAAGUGCGAACGAGAUGAGGCGGGGAACCCGGCCAAGGAAAGCAGCCACGCUGAUGGAGAGGCCGAGGAGGAAGGGGAGAGCGAGAAGGGGGCGGGGCCUAGGAGCGCUGGGUGGCGCGCGCUCCGGCGGCUCUGGGACAGGGUCCUGGCGCCCGCGCGGCGCUGGCGGCGUCCGCUGCCUAGCAACGUGCUCUACUGUCCGGAGAUCAAGGACAUUGCCCACCUGACCCGUUGAACGUUGUAACCGAGGAACUCGGAAGCCACAGCCGAAGGAAGGUGGGAGCUGCAGCCUCGCGGGGGCUGAUAUCGAGACUACUGUGUCUCAGAUCCCAGGAUUGACAUGUGAUAAGAGAGAUGAGCCGAGGGCAGGAGGGAACGCCCUGGGAGGUGUUGAUGAUGAGUUGGGGAGGCUCCUAGACGAACUCGCCCCCAUCUACUGACUGUGCCAGUCUUACAUUUUCAGGAUGGAGUGGCCAAGGGAUGAUAUAAACAAAGCCUACGUUACUGUGGGAAGAAGACAGACUGUUUUCUUAGCUGGGACUUUGGCUUUUGUCCAGGGUGGCUCUGGUGUGUGGGAGCAACAGGUCCCGUUUUAGCAA